This 253-nucleotide ribosomal RNA is filed under the name uncultured bacterium. RNAcentral describes it as "partial 16S ribosomal RNA". It matches the Rfam family "Bacterial small subunit ribosomal RNA", at positions 524 to 776 of the family's 1533-position model. The record is from RNAcentral.
UACGGAGGGUGCAAGCGUUGUUCGGAAUCACUGGGCGUAAAGCGCGUGUAGGCGGCUAUUUAAGUCUGAUGUGAAAGCCCUGGGCUUAACCCAGGAAGUGCAUUGGAUACUGGGUAGCUCGAGUACCGGAGAGGAGGGUGGAAUUCCUGGUGUAGCGGUGAAAUGCGUAGAUAUCAGGAGGAACACCGGUGGCGAAGGCGUCCCUCUGGCCGGAUACUGACGCUGAGACGCGAAAGCGUGGGGAGCAAACGGG